Molecule: long non-coding RNA, 174 nt
Organism: Catharus ustulatus (Swainson's thrush)
Lineage: Eukaryota; Metazoa; Chordata; Aves; Passeriformes; Turdidae
Exons: 4
Source: RefSeq, a predicted model, not a curated record
UAUGCCGAGGAUUUGAUCGUCACCCCCUUUGCUCAGGUCCUGGCCAGCCUCCGCAGUGUCCGCUCCAACCUCUCCGUCCUGACCGAGCCCGGCAGCGCGAGGUCUCCGGUGGGAGCCCAACCCCCCCCGGGCGGGGCCGCGCUCUCAGAGGCCACCUCCCAGCAGCUGGCCCUG